Molecule: ribosomal RNA, 982 nt
Filed under: Fabaeformiscandona subacuta
Lineage: Eukaryota; Metazoa; Arthropoda; Ostracoda; Podocopida; Candonidae
Description: SSU rRNA
Rfam family: Eukaryotic small subunit ribosomal RNA
Source: RNAcentral
UAUGGUUCCUUAGAUCUCCGGUUUUCUACUCGGAUAACCCUGGAAAAUCUAUGGCUAAUACGUUAAAAAGUAGCUCCAACCCUUUGGGAAGGAGCGUUCUUGUUAGAUCAAAACCAAUCGGGGCUUCGGCUCCGUUUACUGGUGAAUCUAAACAAUUUUGAGCAGAUCGCACGGUCUUGUACUGGCGACGACUCUUUCAAAUAUCUGCCUUAUCAACUCGAUGGUAGGUUAUGUGCCUACCAUGGUUGUAACGGGUAACGGAAAAUCAGGGUUUGAUACCGGAGAGGGAGCCUGAGAAACGGCUACCACAUCCAAGGAAGGCAGCAGGCACGCAAAUUACCCAAUCCCGGCUCGGGGAGGUAGUGACGAAAAAUAACAAUACGGGACUCAUCCGAGGCCCCGUAAUUGGAAUGACUACAAUUUAAAUCCUUUAAGAAGGAUCCAUUGGAGGGCAAGUCUGGUGCCAGCAGCCGCGGUAAUUCCAGCUCCAAUAGCGUAUAUUAAAGUUGCUGCAGUUAAAAAGCUCGUAGUUGGAUCUCAGUUACAGUCAGGUGGUUCACUUUACAGUGCUACUGCUUGAACUGAACCUAUUGCUGGAUCUCUUGGGUGCCCUUCACUGGGUGCCCCUUGAGACCAGAACGUUUACUUUGAGAAAAUUAGAGUGCUCAAAGCAGGCGAAUGCCUGGAUACUUGUGCAUGGAAUAAUGAAAUAUGGUCUCGGUGCUGUUUUAUUGGUUUACAGUGCUCGAGGUAAUGGUUGAAAGGGACAGACGGGGGCAUUCGUAUUGCGACGUUAGAGGUGAAAUUCUUAGAUCGUCGCAAGACGGACUACUGCGAAAGCAUUUGCCAAGAAUGUCUUCAUUAAUCAAGAACGAAAGUCAGAGGUUCGAAGGCGAUCAGAUACCGCCCUAGUUCUGACCUUAAACGAUGCUAACUGGCGAUCCAGUGGGGGUAUUUAAAUGACCUGCUGGGCAGCUUCUGG